AGUGAACGCUGGCGGUAGGCCUAACACAUGCAAGUCGAACGGCAGCACAGUAAGAGCUUGCUCUUACGGGUGGCGAGUGGCAGACGGGUGAGGAAUACAUCGGAAUCUACUUUUUCGUGGGGGAUAACGUAGGGAAACUUACGCUAGUACCGCAUACGACCUACGGGUGAAAGCAGGGGAUCUUCGGACCUUGCGCGAUUGAAUGAGCCGAUGUCGGAUUAGCUAGUUGGCGGGGUAAAGGCCCACCAAGGCGACGAUCCGUAGCUGGUCUGAGAGGAUGAUCAGCCACACUGGAACUGGGACACGGUCCAGACUCCUACGGGAGGCAGCAGUGGGGAAUAUUGGACAAUGGGCGCAAGCCUGAUCCAGCCAUACCGCGUGGGUGAAGAAGGCCUUCGGGUUGUAAAGCCCUUUUGUUGGGAAAGAAAAGCAGCAGGUUAAUACCCCGCUGUUCUGACGGUACCCAAAGAAUAAGCACCGGCUAACUUCGUG
This 492-nucleotide ribosomal RNA is filed under the name uncultured bacterium. RNAcentral's name for it is "partial 16S ribosomal RNA". It matches the Rfam family "Bacterial small subunit ribosomal RNA", at positions 29 to 507 of the family's 1533-position model. The record is from RNAcentral.